UCUGAAAGAAAAGAUAUAAGGAGAGGUAUUUUACAGUAGUUUUACCCUGUAAUACCCAAAUACUCUUUUACUCCAUGGGGCACUUCACCAACAUUUUCAUUUUUUGUCUUCAUUUUUUUGUCUUUAUAAUUGAUCUCCAGGCUAGUUGAUCUUGGCACUAAUGCACUGUGGAGCACGGGUGGCUGGUUGCUAGGCAAUCUCACUUGAAACAGCAACAUUGCUGGGCCUCUUACCUAUGAGAGUCUUGUCUGGGGAGAAUCUAAGGCAUUAAACUACUUCUAAUGCUUUUCUCCUUAGGUCUCCAAACAAAACCAACAAAAAACAGAGAUUUGAAUGAAUACUGAAGGCAUUUCACAACCCAAAAACAGUAAUGCCUUUUGAAGAAAUACAACUCCCAGUAACAGCACAGAGUCUGCUAGACUGUACCCACCACCAUCAGUGGGGCUCUAAGAAGAUAUCAACGCACAUUUACUUAAAUAAAAU
This 483-nucleotide long non-coding RNA is filed under the name Macaca mulatta (Rhesus monkey). RNAcentral's name for it is "lncRNA (ENSMMUG00000059839.1)". The record is from RNAcentral. Lineage: Eukaryota; Metazoa; Chordata; Mammalia; Primates; Cercopithecidae.